Arvicanthis niloticus (Nile rat) is the source of this 178-nucleotide non-coding RNA. The record is from RefSeq and is a predicted model, not a curated record. Lineage: Eukaryota; Metazoa; Chordata; Mammalia; Rodentia; Muridae.
GACCCUCUUCCGAUCAAGAAUCUUGCCCUUAACCUGCUUGUUUACAAUGAUGCCCACGGCAUGCUGGGUGACACUUGUGGGGCGUUCCUUUUAGAACAGUACCCAUUCCCUUGAUGUCUACAAUGUCACCCUUCUUGUAGAUUCGCAUGUAUGUGGCCAAAGGAACAACCCCAUGUUU